RNAcentral lists this ribosomal RNA (440 nucleotides) under uncultured bacterium. Its description in RNAcentral is "partial 16S ribosomal RNA". It matches the Rfam family "Bacterial small subunit ribosomal RNA", at positions 338 to 795 of the family's 1533-position model. The record is from RNAcentral.
CCUACGGGAGGCAGCAGUGGGGAAUAUUGCACAAUGGGGGAAACCCUGAUGCAGCGACGCCGCGUGAGUGAAGAAGUAUUUCGGUAUGUAAAGCUCUAUCAGCAGGGAAGAAAAUGACGGUACCUGCUUAAGAAUCCCCGGCUAACUACGUGCCAGCAGCCGCGGUAAUACGUAGGGGGCAAGCGGUCUCCGGCUUUAAUGGGUGUAAAGGGAGCGUAGACGGCAGCACAAGUCAGGAGUGAAAUGCCGGGGCUUAACCCCGGAACUGCUUUGGAAAGUGUGCAGCUAGAGUGCAGGAGAGGUAAGUGGAAUUCCUAGUGUAGCGGUGAAAUGCGUAGAUAUUAGGAGGAACACCAGUGGCGAAGGCGGCUUACUGGACUGUAACUGACGUUGAGGCUCGAAAGCGUGGGGAGCAAACAGGAUUAGAUACCCGUGUAGUC